Molecule: long non-coding RNA, 1610 nt
Organism: Cyprinus carpio carpio
Lineage: Eukaryota; Metazoa; Chordata; Actinopteri; Cypriniformes; Cyprinidae
Source: Ensembl
CAGCAUUUAUUGUCCAAAUUCCUGUCAGCUCUCUCUAAUCCUCCAGCUAAAAGAGGAUAUUCGGUCUGUUAGUCAUCAGAGACUUUUUUUGUAAAUUUCGUUUCCAAUUUUGGCUGUGUUUUUUUGUUGUUGUCAUGGCGACAGGAUGAGUGGGUUUUUAGGGAGCAUUCUCUGGAAAACAAACCAUUCCCUCUGGUUCAGUAUGGUGGGUUAGUGUGGAAAGGUGGUGUUUUUGAGAUGUACGAACACAGAUGGUGAUGGAUACGAACAGGCUGAUGAAGGCUGUGCAUGUUUGCUCUUGGAAAUCAUCUGUUCCUGAACAUCAUCAUUGCUUGACACAAGAUUCGUCCAACCAUUCCAGUAAUGCAUUGGAAUGCCUUGAGGUUGGAUCCCAGUGGAUUCCGCAACUCAAUCAAGGCCAGGUCAUUGCUGUUUUCUGCAGGAAGAUGGCCCCUGAAGCCCCUGGCAGCCCGACAUUGGCAUCAUCUCCGUAACUGGCAACUAUAUUGUCCACAGUAGCAGCUGUGACUCACCUCGGGGACGAAGCGCUGGUCUCACUGCACAUGGUCAUGUCACCAUAGCCACCAGAUCCAGUCUGUAUCCAGAUCAGAUGGUCACUGUAGUCACCCGGAUCCAUUACGUAUCCAGCCCAGAUGGUGGAUCAGCACCUAGAAAGGACCUCUACAGCCCUGAAUGUCAGUGGAGACCAGGACAACUAGAUGAGCCUCAGAUCCCCUGUAAAGACCUUGUCUCAGACGGCCACCGGGACAAGACCACAGGAACCAGUUGAGUCCUCGGCACAAUGUGACUUUGCUGCAGCCUGGAAUUGAACUGCUGUUUUCGUCUGGCCAGAGGAGAACUCCCAACUGAUCCUGGUUUCUCCCAAGGUUUUUUCUCCAUUCUGUCACCGAUGGAGUUUUGGUUCCUUGCUGCUGUCGCCUCUGGCUUGCUUAGUUGGGGACACUUCAUUUCCAGCGAUAUUGUUGACUUGAUUGCACAGAUAUUUAAACUGAACUGAACUUGACUCUAUGUAGAAACUAUGCUCCCUAAUUUAAAAGGAAAUGUGAAGGCUAAAAUAAGCUUAUGGUGCUGGUAGUCAGUGACAUUUGUUAUGUGCUCACAGCUAAGGUUCUUGAAAUAUGUGUCUUGGAAAGAGUCUGGACUCCAUCCAAGUAUGAGAGGGAAUUUGGCUCAGUGAUCCACACUGUACACUGCUCCAUCCAGGGAACCAUAACAAUUCCUCUGCUCUGUUUUCCUCCUCUCCAGCUAAAAACUGUUUCUCUUAGAGACCAUACAAUCUAGAGGCCUGUUGUUGCUGCUCAGUUAAAUAUCAUACCUAGCAUUUCUGUUUCCUGACCGAGGUAAGCCUGUUUUUAUUAUUCAGUCAUUGAAUAAAAAUGCAUGUUAUACACAGUUAUAUAAUACUAUAGUUCCAAAAAAUUUUUGGGUAUUUAAGCCAGUAAAAUGUUAAAUCUAGUUGCAUUAGAUAACAAUACACUACUGUUUAAAAGGUUUAAUCAAUUGAGCAAUUAAUUUACCAACCAUAACUUUUGAAUGUUAGCAUAUUUCAAACAGAAAUGUAUCCCCAAACAAUUAAUGCUAGAUUUUUC